RNAcentral lists this ribosomal RNA (825 nucleotides) under Strongyloides stercoralis. Its description in RNAcentral is "SSU rRNA". It matches the Rfam family "Eukaryotic small subunit ribosomal RNA", at positions 54 to 945 of the family's 1831-position model. The record is from RNAcentral. Lineage: Eukaryota; Metazoa; Nematoda; Chromadorea; Rhabditida; Strongyloididae.
CAUGUGUAAGUACAAUGUUUUAAACAUGAUACCGCGGAAAGCUCAUUAUAACAGCUAUAGACUACACGGUAAAUAUUUUAGUUGGAUAACUGAGGUAAUUCUUGAGCUAAUACACGCUAUUUAUACCACAUUAGUGGUGCGUUUAUUUGAUUAAACCAUUUUAUAUUGGUUGACUCAAAAUAUCCUCGCUGAUUUUGUUACUAAAACAUACCGUAUGUGUAUCUGGUUUAUCAACUUUCGAUGGUAGGGUAUUGGCCUACCAUGGUUGUGACGGAUAACGGAGAAUUAGGGUUCGACUCCGGAGAGGGAGCCUGAGAAACGGCUACCACAUCCAAGGAAGGCAGCAGGCGCGAAAAUUACCCAAUUUUAGUUAAAAGAGGUAGUGACGAAAAAUGACAACCAAAUAUUAUUAUUAAUAUUUGGAUUGAAAAUCUUCAAGUAUAAAUAACUUGUUGGUAAAGGAAAGGGCAAGUCUGGUGCCAGCAGCCGCGGUAAUACCAGCUUUCCAAGUGCAUAAAAUGAUUGUUGUGGUUAAAAAGCUCGUAGUUGGAUUAUAAAGAUUGUAUAAUGAGCAUCUUGGAUGUUAUUUAAUCAUUAUCAUCUUAUAUUUUUAUUAUAUUAGAAAUAAUAUAAUAACUGUUACUUUGAAUAAAUCAGAGGGUUUAAACCAGACAUUAUAUGUUUGUAUGGUCUAGCAUGGAAUAACACUAUAGAAAAAUUUAGUGUGGUUUCACUUAAUUUUUCAUGAUUAAUAGGAACAAACGGGGGCAUUCGUAUCGCUACGUUAGAGGUGAAAUUCUUGGACCGUAGCGAGACGUCCUACUG